GUCUUUUUGAAUAUAAUUUAAAGUCUCGCCUGCCCACUGAAUAUUUUAAUGGCCGCGGUAUAUUGACCGUGCAAAGGUAGCAUAAUCAUUAGUUUUUUAAUUGAAAGCUGGAAUGAAUGGUUGGAUAAGGAAAAUACUGUCUCAAUUUAAAAUUUUUGAAUUUUAUUUUUAAGUUAAAAAGCUUAAAUUAAUUUAAAAGACGAGAAGACCCUAUAGAGUUUUAUAAAUUUAUUUUAUUAAAUUGUUUAGUAUAAAUUUAUUUAUUUUAAUUGAUUUAUUUAAUUGGGGUGAUUAAAAAAUUUAAAUAACUUUUUUUAUAUUAAAACAUUAAUUUAUGAAUAAUUGAUCCAUAAAAAUGAUUAAAAGAUUAAAUUACCUUAGGGAUAACAGCGUAAUUUUUUCAAAGAGUUCUUAUCGAAGAAAGAGAUUGCGACCUCGAUGUUGGAUUAAAAUUAAUUAUUGGUGUAGAAGCUAAUUAAUUGGGUCUGUUCGACCUUUAAAAUUUUACAUGAUCUGAGUUU
Molecule: ribosomal RNA, 521 nt
Filed under: Mycetina felix
Lineage: Eukaryota; Metazoa; Arthropoda; Insecta; Coleoptera; Endomychidae
Description: partial 16S ribosomal RNA
Rfam family: Bacterial large subunit ribosomal RNA (bases 383-521)
Source: RNAcentral